RNAcentral lists this transfer RNA (85 nucleotides) under Flavobacteriales bacterium UBA1986. RNAcentral describes it as "tRNA-Leu(gag)". It matches the Rfam family "tRNA". From Rfam's summary of the family: Transfer RNA (tRNA) molecules are approximately 80 nucleotides in length. Their secondary structure includes four short double-helical elements and three loops (D, anti-codon, and T loops). The record is from RNAcentral. Lineage: Bacteria; Pseudomonadati; Bacteroidota; Flavobacteriia; Flavobacteriales.
ACCCAGGUGGCGGAAUUGGUAGACGUGCUAGCUUGAGGGGCUAGUGACCGCAAGGUCGUGCAAGUUCGAGUCUUGUUCUGGGUAC